This 1332-nucleotide long non-coding RNA is filed under the name Strigops habroptila (Kakapo). RNAcentral describes it as "lncRNA (ENSSHBG00005010806.1)". The record is from RNAcentral. Lineage: Eukaryota; Metazoa; Chordata; Aves; Psittaciformes; Psittacidae.
UUCAGGCAUUUUAAUGUGUAUCUCAGUAAAGCUACACGUGUUUCCAUGUAGGUUAUUCAUACAUAUUAUGGCACUUGAACUCUCCUAACAGGUAUUUAGUUACCUAGGAUAUCUAGGCUAAAAAAGAAAAGUCUGCUAAAAUUAACCAUUUCUGUAAGAAAACCAUUAAUUUUCCUGAAAGUUGCAUCAAAAUACAAUAGUUCAUUUUUCACAUUAUUUGAGUAAGUUGCCUUUGACAAUGAUGUCACGUUAACUUAGAUCUCUAGUGAUUUGUGAAUACAAAGGCAGGCAAUCUUACCCACUUUCAACAAACCAAGUUGUGUGCUGCUCCUUAGUAACUAUAAUAUGGAGUAUUGAUACUUGUGUAUCCAUUCUUUUGUUGGAAUAAAGUCUCUGAAGUAAUUCCACAUACUAAGAAAGAAGUCCAAAUUUAAUUGAAGGUGGCUUACAAUGGUAGCUUUUUCUCCAUGUAAGGCAUUAUUCUGACAUCUACUGGCCUGGUAUCCAACCAUACAUUUUAAUACACUGCAUUUGUUAUUAAAAAAGAGCACAUAUAUUAAUCCAAAGAUAAGAACAAUUAAAGAAACACAAACAACAUACAUUUAAAACAGGCCCAUGUAUUUUCAUAUAAAUCUCACAACUCUGCCAGUAUUUUGGUAGGUUUCUAUUGCUUUCUUAACUCAUCUGAACCACCGUAUGAGGCUUUAACGCAAGGAGCUUUGGGGAAGAAAGUUACAUUUGGAAGGGAAAAGAAAGUUGUGACAAGUAAAAAAAAAAAAAUCCAAGCAGCUCUUGAAAAAAACAAAAAAAAACUUCACUUGCAAAAUGAAGCAGCUAUUUUGUGAUUCAUAUUUGUAUUUAAAAAGACUAAUUAGACCAAAAUAAAAACCUAAAAAUGGCAAUUCUAUAAAUAAUGAAAAUUUUGAUUUUACUAGACUUUAAUGAAAAACAUUUGGUAAUUAAAUACUUGCUACUGUUCAUUUUGUUGAUGAACUUUAUUAGGGUUAAAACUGUAACAAAGUUCAUCCUAAAACAUUUUGCAAUGCAAAAUUAUUUUCACUCGAGGAGUGUCUCAAAUUGAAUGCUAAGAAUUACAAGCAAUCUUCAGAAGCAGACACUCACGUUCAUAAAACUUUAUACAUCUUUUGGAACUAAGAUAUUUAUACUACUAAAAUCAAACAUGCAUCACUUCCCAUACAUUCUGGUAUCAUGAUUUAUAUUACAUUAUGUAACACCAUUCUUCUAAACAGCAGCAGUUUUAUCAUACGCUUGCUCCAUUUUCUUUGGAUUUCUGAUCUUUAUCUUCGCUCUUCACAAUAUCCUUUAAAAGAA